ACCAGCACACAGUCAGCUGCCCAGGCGACGUGUCUGGCUCAGUGUUACUGUGCUGGAAGAGGAAGUCCCUGCACAUGUCCUCAGCCCCACAGGUUCUGUUUUAGAACCUUCUGUUGCUGAGUGGCUGCAGGGCGAGGCCCGACGAGAGUGGCCCGUUCCUGGACCCUCGCCGGAACGGGCCUAGUGCUGGGCCGCACACG
This 200-nucleotide small nucleolar RNA is filed under the name Hippocampus comes (tiger tail seahorse). Its description in RNAcentral is "Small nucleolar RNA SNORA74 (ENSHCOG00000009189.1)". It matches the Rfam family "Small nucleolar RNA SNORA74". From Rfam's summary of the family: U19 belongs to the H/ACA class of snoRNAs. snoRNAs bind a number of proteins (including dyskerin, Gar1p and Nop10p in the case of the H/ACA class) to form snoRNP complexes. This class are thought to guide the sites of modification of uridines to pseudouridines by forming direct base pairing interactions with substrate RNAs. The record is from RNAcentral. Lineage: Eukaryota; Metazoa; Chordata; Actinopteri; Syngnathiformes; Syngnathidae.